RNAcentral lists this ribosomal RNA (456 nucleotides) under uncultured Pseudomonadota bacterium. RNAcentral describes it as "bacterial SSU rRNA". It matches the Rfam family "Bacterial small subunit ribosomal RNA", at positions 447 to 896 of the family's 1533-position model. Lineage: Bacteria; Pseudomonadati; Pseudomonadota. The record is from RNAcentral.
GAAAAGGUUCUGGCUAAUACCUGGGACUCAUGACGGUACCUGAAGAAUAAGCACCGGCUAACUACGUGCCAGCAGCCGCGGUAAUACGUAGGGUGCAAGCGUUAAUCGGAAUUACUGGGCGUAAAGCGUGCGCAGGCGGUUAUGCAAGACAGAGGUGAAAUCCCCGGGCUCAACCUGGGAACUGCCUUUGUGACUGCAUGGCUAGAGUACGGUAGAGGGGGAUGGAAUUCCGCGUGUAGCAGUGAAAUGCGUAGAUAUGCGGAGGAACACCGAUGGCGAAGGCAAUCCCCUGGACCUGUACUGACGCUCAUGCACGAAAGCGUGGGGAGCAAACAGGAUUAGAUACCCUGGUAGUCCACGCCCUAAACGAUGUCAACUGGUUGUUGGGAGGGUUUCUUCUCAGUAACGUAGCUAACGCGUGAAGUUGACCGCCUGGGGAGUACGGCCGCAAGGUUG